CCACAGACAGCACCCAAAUGUUGAAACACUUUCCACUUUAGAAAUGAGAAGAGCGCUCCUGACAUUUGAGCGCCACCCCAUGG
RNAcentral lists this microRNA precursor (83 nucleotides) under Cricetulus griseus (Chinese hamster). Its description in RNAcentral is "mir-290". Lineage: Eukaryota; Metazoa; Chordata; Mammalia; Rodentia; Cricetidae. The record is from RNAcentral.